Molecule: long non-coding RNA, 1651 nt
Organism: Cannabis sativa
Lineage: Eukaryota; Viridiplantae; Streptophyta; Magnoliopsida; Rosales; Cannabaceae
Exons: 3
Source: RefSeq, a predicted model, not a curated record
UAACACUCCGGGACCCUAAAAUAAUGAAAAUCAAGCGUAAAACUACUCCAAAAGACACCAAUAGACGAGAUAAUGCUAACUUUAAAUACCCGACACAUAGGCUAAUUAUAUGUAAUAUCCAGUACAAGUAUAUUAUUUUUGGUAUAUUAUUGUGUGUUUUGAUAUGUUAUUGUUGCAUUAAAUAAAAUAUGAAUAUUAUUGGUAUUUGCUAAGUACAAUUAUAUAGUUAAUUAGAUUAAGUAUUUAUUUAAUAUUAAUUAUAUUAGAGAAUAAGUUAUUAGUAAAUAGUUGUAUGAUUAAGUGAUAAGAUUUGUUAUACAUGUAAUAAGAAUAUAGAUAAAAAUUAGUAUACUAUUUUAUACGUAUAGGUUUAUUAAAUAAAUAAGACUAGUGGUAUUUAUAAUAGGAAUAUAUAUAUUUUGUAUAAGCUUGAUAAUAAAAUAUAUAUAUAUAUAUUUGUAAAGGUUAUAGUAAUAGAUGAAUAGAGAGAGGGACACGUGAGAGUGAGAGAAGAAUGGGGAAGUUAGUUUAAGAUAUUUGACUUAGUUGAAUUUAAAUUUAAAUUAUGAGGAAUUUUAUAUUAGUAAUUAAUCAAUAUUUUAUUCCUUAAAAAAAAAAAAGGUAUAGCUGAGUUUAAAUUUUAAAUUCCUAGAUUUUAUCUAAUCAGUUGAAUAUAUACGAUAUGGUUUUACCAUUCAAUGAAACGAUGAACACAAAUUUCAUUCUCUACUUCUUUCUCUCCACUUAGAUAAUUCCUAAAUCUCUCAUAGCCUCUAUCACACCAAAUUACAGCAUAGCAUAAAUUGAAGCCUCUAUCACAAUAUUCAAUUUCUAAGGGCCUAGAAGGUAUCGUAGGAGUUAAUUACAGCGGAGUUGAGAUAAGUAAGCCUGUAAGCUUUCGGUGACAAGUUGAGUCUGGGCAGCAUGGGGUGUAUCUCGUGUGAUCAUGUAACUGCGUGUGGUCUUGGCCAUCUUCCGCUGAAAGUUUUUUUUUUUUAAUUUAUUAAACUUAUCGAGGAUGUUGUCGUUUAAAUUUUCUAUUACUUUUCCCUAAGUGGUAAUACUUUAUUUUCAACUGGGUACCCAUGUUUUGAAAAUUGUUUUUUUUUAAUAAAGGCAACAUUAGUAUCUUAACGCCAGUUUAUUUAUGGCAUCUUAUUUUAUAUAAGUAAGGGCGUUACAUUAUAACCUAACAACUACCUAAAAAAGGACAUGCCGUUUUUCUGUGUCUUGCACCAGUAAAAACGGUAGGCUGUUUCUACAGAAAUGGCCUGCCGUUUUUCACUGCAGAAAAACAUAGGUACCCUAAAACGAUCUAAAUCUACCCCAAAACAUACCACAAGCUCCAGAACACCUAAUUGAGGAUCAAUAAACAUAUACCAACUGAAAAUUUUAUAAUCAAGCUACUAAAAUUAAAAUCACCAUUAAAGGGUCAUUUUUGAGCUUAAAAGCUCCAUACUAGCUUAAACACUACCAUAGCCACAAAAACCAGCUUGAACCAACUUGAAUAAUCAAAAAUCAAUAAAAGGAAGUACUCUAAAACAAACUCGUACCGCACAGAUAGAAAACCCUAGAAAUCAUAUAUGCUUGAAACCUUACUUUAACUAAGGAAAACAAAGGAAAAAGACUUGCGUUGAUUAACACUUGUGAG